GUGUGAUCAUAUUUUGUUUUUUGGACACUCAGUUCCUGUUUUUGCACUUCCUGGUUUGUUUUGUUACCAUAGCAACUCAUUAGUUUUCACCUGUCCUCAUGUCUCGCACCUGUUUUCACUGAUUAUGUCACCGCUAUUUAAGCGGUCUGUUUCUGUUCUUCGUCCAGGCAACAUUUCACCGUCUACCACCGUCUACCACCCUCUAUCACCCUGGAUACUUUUACCCACGUCAUGCUAAGCUACCUCCACUCUGCUUCAUGUCAUGUUUACAGUUCCAUGCCAAGACAUAUUGAAGAAAGAAAAAAAAGACUAGAGUUGAGGCGGACAGGCCCUUCAGACGUGAGUGCGGACAAGGUGCGAUGAGUUAAACGUUCCUGUCGUCGUCGUCGUCGCUACAGUUCCACAGACUCGUGUCAGCGCGUCCUGAGAAAAGUCCAGAAGAGAAAAGCAGGACAAUCACGUGGUGGAAAUGAAGAAAACAACGUGAUCUUCAUCUCUUUAUACGCACAAGUACUACAGGUCAGAACUACAGGACUGAAGCCUCACCUCAGUCAGCCGCUGGGAGGAGAAGAAGGGCAAAGGGUUUAGUGGCGGCAUCGACCUCACUGUGGGUCUGUGGCGCUCAUCAAAGACCCCAAACGCACUUUCACAUGGAGAAGAACCGCCCAGACCGCCGUGCCGGGCUAAUUAUCAGCGAGGUUUUCUGGAGAGCUUCUCCGUGAGACAUGUGGAGUCUCAGCAGAUAGUCACAUGUGCUCUUCUUCUUCUUCUUCUCGUCGGGACACCUCGGGGUUGGAAGGUCAGAUCCUCCACCACCUCAGAGACCAGGCCACAUAAAAUGAUGUGGCGGGCCAGAUCCAGCCCCCGGGCCUAGAGUGUGACACCAGCGUGGCAGAUUGCAGACAUGGACGGAGGACAGAGGACGUCAUGAAGCGUAAGCAAUAAGCCUUCACUCUGCAAACAUUCUCCACUUCUCCAUUCAGUCGCUUCGGAAGUCUUUCAUUCACAAGCGGGCGGCGGGAGGAAGAGGAAGAGGAGGAAGAGGAAGGGGCCCUCGCUCUUCCUCUUUCUGACACUCACUAACGUUCCGUGUCGCAAAUACAUGUGCAGACCAGAGCGCAGCAUUGUUGCGCAACAUGUCCUUUUGUUGGCCACACGCCGGGACAAAAGGUCUCAUGCCGGUCACUGACUUUGACACCUGUCUAUGGGACUGACCUUUAGUGUUUGAUCUGUUCAAAUUUAGCCAGCCAGAAAGAGUUGAGUUGAUUGGCAACAUUAAACGUGUGAAUGUUGUCUAUCUGUGUUGGCCCUGUGAUGAGGAGGCCACUUGCAGCUGGGAUAGGCUCCAGCACACCCCGCCACCCCGAAAGGGACAAGUGGUAGGAAAUGGAUGGAGUUUUAUUGUAUCCAGCCUUUCUCAGGACACAUACAUGUAA
Molecule: long non-coding RNA, 1436 nt
Organism: Nerophis ophidion (straightnose pipefish)
Lineage: Eukaryota; Metazoa; Chordata; Actinopteri; Syngnathiformes; Syngnathidae
Exons: 5
Source: RefSeq, a predicted model, not a curated record